AUUGCCUACGGGACGCAGCAGUGGGGGAUAUUGCACAAUGGGGGGAACCCUGAUGCAGCGACGCCGCGUGAGCGGUGAAGUAUUUCGGUAUGUAAAGCUCUAUCAGCAGGGAAGAAAAUGACGGUACCUGACUAAGAAGCCCCGGCUAACUACGUGCCAGCAGCCGCGGUAAUACGUAGGGGGCAAGCGUUAUCCGGAUUUACUGGGUGUAAAGGGAGCGUAGACGGCAAUGCAAGCCAGAUGUGAGAGCCCGGGGCUCAACCCCGGGACUGCCUUUGGAACCGUGUAGCUGGAG
Molecule: ribosomal RNA, 295 nt
Filed under: uncultured bacterium
Lineage: Bacteria
Description: partial 16S ribosomal RNA
Rfam family: Bacterial small subunit ribosomal RNA
Source: RNAcentral